This is a long non-coding RNA of Apis cerana (Asiatic honeybee), 3315 nucleotides long. RefSeq lists it as uncharacterized. NCBI's taxonomy places the organism in Eukaryota, Metazoa, Arthropoda, Insecta, Hymenoptera, Apidae. The record is from RefSeq and is a predicted model, not a curated record.
UAUAAGACGCGCAAAAUCCGUACUCGAGUUCAUUCGUAGUUUCGACGUCGUAUCGAAUGGAUGUAUAUCGGAGACGAUGGACGAUAAUUAUCUGCUGCCAUUUUUCAUUGAAAAAUGGAAUAUCGAAGAUUUUUGCUUCUCACCAUUUCAAACACAUAAAUAAUCGUAGUGGAAUCCAAUCCCGGAAGGGCAAUGUGUCGAACGACACAAACAUUCUCCGUGUCAUGCAGCGAGAUUCCUCCGGCAGUUUAUCUCCCUUCCGCCCGAUAGCCAAGGCGCUUCCGUUAUCAUCGGCCGCGUUGUUGGCAGCAUAAAUUGAUACAGAUGCGAGUUAGCCCGAGUUUUUCGCCCCUGCUGCUAUUCCACGGGAAUAGCUGAUGGCGGCUUGGAUUUCGUUCUUCCAGAACGAAAAUCAUUCGAGAAGAUUUCAAAGGAAUCAAAAAAAAAAAAAAAAAAAAAAAAAGAAAUCGCGUUUGGAACGAGCAAUUUCUUCGCGAGCAAAGCGAGCGAGGAUCGUUGACCUCGAUAAUGGUAAACCGAUAAUGGUAAACUAAUUGGAUCUCGUGCGUCGAUUUCGAGCAAAAUAGCCGGAAAAGAAGAAGUGGCUUUCACAAAUUAUCGUUUCCCUCUAACUAAUAAGAAUUUAACGUCGAGAGGUUGAUUACCGAUUAAUUUAUUCGACACUUUCGAUAAGAACGAAUUUACCAAGAAUUAUUCGUCGAAAUUUACAUUCCAUUUUAAUAAUACGGAAUAAGAAAAAUAAUAUACUCUCGUACAACAAUUUCAAACAUAUCAAAAGUUUCGAAGAUCGGAACGAAACGAGACACGAUGAAAUACUUUGUCGUUUCACGAGUAAUGAGCAUUAAACCAGGUUGAAGAAGAACGGAUAGAGAAGGAGAGGGGUGUCAAAGUUUCGAGUGGCCCUUCCUCCCCCUCCCCUCAUAAUUAGGAUCAGAAUUUUGGUAUCUCGGCCUCGGUUGGAUCCUCCGUGUUGCGUCCCUUGUGUUUUCGAGUGUAGGCGUAGGUUGUUGGAGUGUCCCCGUGUAAACAGACAACAAAUAGUCCAGGAAGGCCGGAUAAGCCGCUAACAUCGUGCGGUCUAUGUUCAAUGCGGUAAUUAACGGCGCGAUGUCACAUAGGGCCUUUAAUCUCCCGGUAACGAUUCCCGUGGCCGCGAAGUUCCUUGAAAAUUAGCAUAAUAAUAUAUCGUCGUCUAUCUCGGCCAAUUAAACGGCCAUAAAGCCGGCCGAGCUUUGGCGACGGUCCGGGGCUGCCACGACGUCGUACCAGGCUAACUCAGGGACUCAGCUAUUAAUGAAUGGUGGUUCCUCGUCGAGGGUGACGGGGAACUAUAAACUUGUCCCCUUGGCCGACUAGACGAUCCUUUGAUUUCUCUUUUCCUUCCGACCACGAUCCUCGAUCCCCGCCACGUUAUGCUCCUUCAACUCGUACAGAUUGUUUAAUUUAAGGAGGACGCACUUUGUUAAAUUUUUAAAUAUCUUCUUACUUAUUUAUUUAUUUCUUUUUAUUUGAUUGAAUUUUAGAAUGGAAAGAAAAAUUUUUGAAUUUUUUUAAGUCUUUUCUUUUCUUUUUUUUUAAAUACAGUUUGCAUUGAUGGUAUAUUUGUAGUUCAAACUAGAAAUAAAAAUUAUUGUGGAAUAAAAAAGGGAAAGAAAAGGCUCGAACGAUUAAUCUGAGAUUAAUUGCGAAAUAACGGUACUUUUUCAAAACGAUUAAAAGCGUCGAAAGAUACAAUUGAAGACAAAUUUUCAAUAAAUAUGCGACUUUUUUUUUUACAGAUUUAAGCGAGGUGACGAGGUUUCUCGAUUUGAGAUCCAUCAAAGUAGGCGAUAACUGUCUCUCUGCUCAUGGGACAUUGCGGUUUUCUCGCCGUCGCAGAAUCGUCGGAACAUUCGGACCACGGGCAUCGUUAAACGAUCGUUAACAAGGCCUCCUCGAAGUUCCAACGCGGGACGGAUGGAACGAUUUGUCAAGAUCUGUGUGACGCGGGUUUCUCACGGCAGUUUCUUCGUCGAAAAAUAACAUAAUUCCGUUCAAUUCGAGUUUCCAUUGCAUCUUUAUCUUAAUUUUAGAAAAAUUAGAAAUCACUUUACUUACUUUUAUUAACAAAAAAAGAAAAAAAAAAGAAAGAGCACGCAAUUCUAAGAACGAUUCUCAAAUAUAUUUCCACUCUCCUCCUCUUCUCUUGCCAAUCCAAAAACCAAAAAAAGAAAAGAAAAAGAAAAAAAGAUCCAACCACCUUCCAACAACCCCAUCCCACCACGAGAAAUCGCAAUUGGAAGCGGCCACCCUAGAUAUACUUCACGGUCGAUUAGCCGGAAGCAACGCCAAUCUUCCUCCUCGAUUUUCAACUCUCGCGCUCGGGGUGGGGGAGGGGGAGGGGGAGCAAAAGUUCAUUUGCGCUUAAUGCCGCGCGAUUAAUUGCCCCUCGGCCACUCGGCGAGAGGUUGUAAGGCCAUUUACGGCGGUGGCUCGGGCCUGUGUUUACCCCGUGCUGCCUACAAAUUCGUUCGCACUCGAAUUCCAGCGUCGUGGCCGCGCGAGGGGCCGAUUUAUCGACGGCUUCCGUGGCCGGGAACCGCGGAAACGGCGCUUUGCACGAGGAUCCACGUGGACACGAUCGUGGACGACCCGGGGACACGAAUACCGUACCGGCCUGGCCUGGCUCAACCCGCCCAACCAGCACGGAAACCGACGCGAGGAGACGACUCGUCCACUCGCGACAACUCUUCUCCAUUUCCGGCCGGCCGUGUUCGAGGAUCGGUGCCGCAAUUAGCAAUGACCUCUGCUCCACUCCUCCGCACCUUCCCUCCCCUUCCGCUCCCCUUCUCGAUGCGCGAAGAACCGGCACGGAAACGGCAUUUGAAUUGCAUUUCGCCCGUGAGAGCAUUGCCUGAUUCCGUGUCUUCGCCGAGAAAUUGCGAGUUGGUGGAUUAAAAGGGAGAAGGGGAGGAGGAGGAGGAGGAGGAGGAGGGUGUCGAGGAGAGUACGGAGGGUAAAUCGGGUGCCACGAUUUCCUUCGCGGGGACACGAAUCAAUGAAAUGGGAGGAACUCGAGGAGGAGAUCUUUCAUUCCUUUUCCCCUUUCUUUUCGUAAGAUACGGAUAUCGUUUCGCGGGAUUAUUAAGAAUUUUGUAUAUAGGGAAUAAUCGUCAAACGAGUGCGUCUUUUGUUUUGAACAAAAGACGGAUCGACGGUAAUUCAAAUUAUUCGUUAUUCCGAAAAAUAAAACGAAAUUAUAUAUCCUAUAUUCAGGCCUGCGUCAAGCGGUUAAAUUAAAUUAUCUAAAUCUCA